Molecule: long non-coding RNA, 3639 nt
Organism: Apis cerana (Asiatic honeybee)
Lineage: Eukaryota; Metazoa; Arthropoda; Insecta; Hymenoptera; Apidae
Source: RefSeq, a predicted model, not a curated record
GAGUAUCGGCGCGAAUCGUUUUCGGGCCCACCCGUAAUAAUUGGUCCUGCACACGGGUCGUUCAUGCACUCGACGGCGGUUACGUUAUGUAAAUUCCACGAUCAUACGCCGCGAUACAGCGGAAUUAACGUGUACACGCGCCUGAGCAGCCGGCCGAUGUAAUGGCUUAAGCCGUUUACACGUCGUUGGACCGUGCGGAUCUCUAUGGGAUGGGAUGGUGUCCAUCUCGGCCUCUCAUCGUGUUCAAUAUAUGCGAAUGCGUUUAACAGAGUCGAUGCUAAAAUUUUAAACAACUUAAUCAUUUUUCACAACAUUCUAAAUCACUCGCAAUUUCAAUACAUUGUAAUUUCAAAAGUGAUUUGUUUUUAUAAUAAAUAUAUACGAUUCUCUUAUAUACGUGAAUAAAUUGUAUCGAUAACCGUACUGAAUUUUUGUAUAAUGGAAAAUAUCAAAAGUAAAGGAAUAGAAAGGAUGUCGAUAAACAUAGGAUGACUUUCUCUGAUAAGGAAAAAAACUUGUUAAGUAUUAUAUGUACUACAGAAGCCUUUUAAAAAUAUAAAUAUCAAAUCCAUAAACAUUCAAACAGAAAUAUCAAAUUCAGAUUUCAACAGCUUACGGAAAUAAAAACUCGUAAAAUCGACAAUAAAAACAAUAAUUUUUUGCCAUAUUUCAAAAUAUCGAAUUUAUAUUUCAACAUUACACUAUAUAAGAAACCAAAAAGAUCAAAGAGAAAAAUCGUCCGUAAUCCUCGUCUCCACAAUUUCAUCUCUCGAACACGAAAACUAAAAAAUCGUGUUUCGUCGAGACCAACGUAUAAAGGAUCUUUUAUAUCCGGUAUUACAUCCGUCGUUUAUGACGUAAUACAGGGAACGAAACUGAGCAAUCGAGGACAUUCAGCCGAGCAAUCUGCGGCCCGCAUGCAUACAGAAGUUGCUAUGAAACCCAACUCAGAAAUCUAAGUUUCGUCAAGCAACGCCAACAUGCUUCCAGAUAAUAUUCUCAUCAGAGUAAUAAUUACCACGAUUCCUACGUGUCGCGUUACCUAAAUAUUCCUAUUAACAGAACUAAUCUAGCCACUCGACGCGACCACGAUUCGUUUGUUUCUAUCAAACUUUGACUCGUGCCGAAAUUAACAUUGAAUCUACAUACGAAAGGAAAAUUAUGUAUUCCAUCGCGAGCAUUAAAGGUGAUAAUCGGUUUUCACGUAUGCCAAUAUAAUUACGAAUCUAAAAAUUUAAUUUGAAGUUCUUUAAUUUUUCUUUUUUUUUUGUUCCAUUUCUAUUACGUGUUUCUUUUUUUCUCUUUUUCAAGUCGAGAUGUUUCUUUAUCUAAAAGAGAAUAUAAAGAAAAUUAUUUACAAUAAAUUCAAAAUUAAACUUUUGAUUCAUAAAUAUUGAAUAGAGAAUUUCAAAAUAUAUAAGCACUGAUUUAGAAUUAAUUUUUUCAUAUCCAAAUUUUGAAACAUUUACAAUUAAAUAUGAUGAGAAUUAUUAUUUAUUCAAAAUAAAUAAUCAAACAAGAUUGUUAUCAAUUCUGACAAUUAAAUCAACUAUUGGACAGCAUCGAAUUUACACAUAUGCCAUUACAAAAUUCCGCAUCGAUAUAGCUUUCUCGUCGAACUAAGGCCAGACAACUCGAUGAAGAUCUAUAGGGAAACACGUGGCGCACAUUGGAGGAAGAGGGAAAGGAGAGGAAAGAGGAAACUCGUUUCGCGGACUGAAAUUGCAGCCGAGAACCCCGUGGAAAGUUCUUGACAGAAAAAGAUCGAGUUUCCAACUGUCUACGCGGCUCUACACCACCAUCCCCGACGCGCCAUCUGCAACGUAUAUAAUCGUCCGCCGGAAGAUAAGACGAAUCUCUGCGUCACAGAGACGCGGCGCAACUUUUUCGCCGGACCAACUGCUGAUUACAACCCCGGAUACCAGACCACCCUUUGCUGCUGUUUUCCAAAAGAAAGGGAAGCAGAAGGCUUCUUCCGGUCAAGUUUCUUUGAGUCUGAUUCUAGAUGAGAUAGUUGGAAGAUUGAUUUUAAAGGGAUAAGGAUGAUUAAUUUUUCUUCUAGUUGAAAAGAAAAGUUUCCUUUUGAAAAGUUUGAUAUAUGAAACUGUUUAUGAACAUUGAGAUGAUUGUUGAGAUGAUCUUAUGAGAAUUGACUUAGAUAUGUGAAACAACAGCUCAUGGUAGAGAAAGUAAAAAAAUAUUUUCACCAAAGCUCAUAAUUUCUGCAAUUUCUUUUAAAAAAAUAUAUAUAUAUUAUCUUGUGAUAAUUUAAAAAGUAUCAUUGAGAAGGAAGAAUUACACUUUAAGUAUACAAUUUAAAUAAUUCCCAUAAAAUGCAAUCGUCCAAUGAAUCAAAAUAAAACGUGGAACACAACGUGGAGCAAUUAUCCAAGCGAAAUGGAAAUGAUCAACCAAGAGGGGCAUCGAUCACGUCAACGAUUUCAAUCAUUUCGAUUCCUUCGGGGAACAUCCAUUUCGCGUAGUCAUUUCGAACGUUUUCCAACCCUUUGCCGGGAAUAUCUCGUGACGGUUCCAACGAAUGGCGUCGAUAGAUCGAAUCCUCCGCCGGUCCCGAGAAAUCGACGAAUUCCACGAGUCUGCGAUGCGAAUUUCCGAAUCCAUGGCGAAAAAAGCGAGGGAGGGAAGGUUGAAGCUCGAAAAGUCGAGCUGUCGAUCCGACGAAUGGGACAGCUUUGCCUGGCAAAUUUCGUAUCUGAGAAAUAAAUGGGAACCGUAGCAUAAUCUCGUUCGCUUACAGAGGAACCCUUGCAAGACAGGCUUGAGGUAUUGGAAGCUUUUUUGCUUUCGGUCAGGUUUAUACGGCAAGGAAGAGAUUUUCCGCGUGGCAGGGAAAGAUAAGUGUUUUUUUUAUUUCUCUUUUUUUUUCAAUAGUUAUUAUUGAUUUCAAGAAGAAAUUAUUGAUAUAAAGGAUGGACCAUCUUUGGAAAUCUACAAAAUCUUCUGGAUAAAAUAAUCACUAAAUUUCUAGAAACUAAUAAAUUUAAAAGAAUUUUUUCCAUUUAUUUUUUUCAUCUAAAAAAGUUGUUCCACCUUUGUUUUAAAAGAUUAUCUAUAUAGAAAGAGAAUGAUUAAAAUUUUUUGUAAAAAAAAAAAUUACUUUAAUCUUCGUGAUUAAAAUCGAUUGUCUUUCAGAAACGAUAUGUGGGUUACGAAAUGACGAGGAUUGAUGAAGUUGGUAAUGCCUAAGCACUAUCAUGGAGAGAUCAUAGAGAGAUCAUAGAGAGAUCAAAGGGACGAUAAUCCCUCCAAGGAGAUCAUUUGAAGCUUAUGCUUACGGCUCGAACCAGCGCACUGGCCACAAUUUUCCCAAGGAAUUUGCCAAAGACACUGUAAAGGAUUCAUAAUCGUAGGUUGAAGUCUUUGAGGCUUUAACCCUCGUCAACAUGGAUAUUCAAACCGAACGUAACAAGUCGAACAUAUCGACAAUUUAUAAUUUUAUAAUUAUAUCUUAUAUCUAAUAUAAUGAAAUAAGAAUUUCAAUAAAAUAAGAAAGAAAUUUACUGAUGUAUUAUUUAAUUUUGUUUUAGAUUUUACAUAUCAAUCAGUAAAAUAAAUAAAUAAAUAAAUAAUUUUUUAAAUGUAUCGAAAUUAAUAAACGCAUAAAUUGUCACAUUCUAA